AAAACUCACCUGGUUGUCCGCAGAAGAUUCCGACGAGAAAUUAAUAUGAGUGAUUAAUCAGCCGACAGAAAGAAAAAUCCCAGAUCUGGCAAUCCUUGGAAUCGACGACAUCAGAUAUGUAAAAAUAGCAGAUAUUUGCAGUAAGAACAAUGGUGGAAAGAGAGCUAAAAAGGAGGAAACUUGGAGAAGAAGGUGGAGAAAAACUAAACUAAAAUAAACAAAACGAAACGAAAAACUGUAGUCGUUUAGAAGAGGAGGAAGUGGAAAGAAGAAGAAGAAGCUUACUUGAAUCUUCUUUUACCUGAAGCUUACCGCAUUUAUAAACCUUGAAACCAACGAGUUCUGCUCUCCAUUUCCACCUUCUUCUGCUUUCCAUUCUCUUUGGAAGAAACAACCGAAACAUCAUCUGCACCUCGUCAAUGAAGGAGAAACCGCAGGCCGAACAACCCCUGUAGAAAUGGAGACUGACCAGAUCCGUGAGAGUAUCCCUCUCGAUGCAGUGCUCAUUUCUGACGGUGGGGGUUUGUAAAGGAA
RNAcentral lists this long non-coding RNA (534 nucleotides) under Zostera marina. RNAcentral describes it as "long non-coding RNA (ZMAR_LNC000489)". The record is from RNAcentral. Lineage: Eukaryota; Viridiplantae; Streptophyta; Magnoliopsida; Alismatales; Zosteraceae.